AAAAGAAGACUCACGCGUGGAGAACGCGUGGUGGUGGCGGAGGCGGCGGCCCCGACAGGGGGGCCACCCCGCCGGAAUCGAUGGGCGGACGCCUGUCGCGAUGCCGAGCGUGAUAUGACCAUCUGCGCUCGAGCGCGGCGAGGCUCCCAGCCCCGGGCCCGAGAGUUUGGGCGGGGAGAGCAAGACAUU
This 189-nucleotide unclassified non-coding RNA is filed under the name uncultured Helvella. RNAcentral's name for it is "sequence contains ITS2". Lineage: Eukaryota; Fungi; Ascomycota; Pezizomycetes; Pezizales; Helvellaceae. The record is from RNAcentral.